This 733-nucleotide long non-coding RNA is filed under the name Manacus vitellinus (golden-collared manakin). RNAcentral's name for it is "lncRNA (ENSMVIG00005002692.1)". Lineage: Eukaryota; Metazoa; Chordata; Aves; Passeriformes; Pipridae. The record is from RNAcentral.
GACAUCUCUGCUCAUGCAACUGCACCUGCAGAAGUAUUUUUAGGGGAGGUACAAAGUGUUACUCCCCUCUCCCCAGGCACAGGGACGUGUGUCCUGGCAGUCCUUCAUCCCAUGGCCUGACCCAGCCACAUAACUGGGCAGUGCUGUCACAUGGAGCUGGAAAUAUAAACGUGGGGACGAGUCAGGGGCAGAUUGGCUGUUUGCAAGGUGGCACCUGGCUCAGAGAGAGGAAACUGGACCUCACACCCUGACAGGGAUGGUGAUCCAGGGAGGAUGAGCGAGCAUCACCCAGGAGAGGCACCCUCACACCCCUCCCAGGUUUUACACAGCCCUGGUCACGGGAGACCUGAGGAGCCUCGAGGUCCUGACUGACCGAUACCAUCAAGAUGUCAACCUGGUUUUUGAGAUCAGUAAAAAUGAGCUGGAGUGGCAGGUGAAAAGCCAAGCGUCUUAUGGACUCUCAGGUUGGGAUUAGACACUCUGUGGCUUGGGAAUGUUUGCAAGAGGGGUCACAGCCCAAAUUCCUCAUGGAGGGGCUCAGGAAGAGCAGCCUGGUCCUAUGGGGGAGGAAUAAGAUGUUUCCAGGUUAGUGGUACCUGGUGCCUUCCCCGCUGAGGUGCUGCUCAAAGUCCCAGGUGCUCCCAGAGCACCAUGCUCAGUAGAUUACUGAUGGUCCCAGAGGUCCUGGAGCUGAUGGGAAAUGCAACACCUCACUCUAGCUGUGCCCAAACCC